Molecule: ribosomal RNA, 402 nt
Filed under: uncultured bacterium
Lineage: Bacteria
Description: bacterial SSU rRNA
Rfam family: Bacterial small subunit ribosomal RNA
Source: RNAcentral
UGGGGAAUCUUGCACAAUGGGGGCAACCCUGAUGCAGCGACGCCGCGUGAGCGAUGAAGCCCUUCGGGGCGUAAAGCUCUUUCGACCGGAACGAUAAUGACGGUACCCGCAGAAGAAGCCCCGGCUAACUUCGUGCCAGCAGCCGCGGUAAUACGAAGGGGGCUAGCGUUGCUCGGAAUUACUGGGCGUAAAGCGCACGUAGGCGGCUUGUUAAGUCGGGGGUGAAAUCCCGGAGCUCAACUUCGGAACUGCCUUCGAUACUGGCAAGCUCGAGUCCGGGAGAGGUGAGUGGAACUGCGAGUGUAGAGGUGAAAUUCGUAGAGAUUCGCAAGAACACCAGUGGCGAAGGCGGCUCACUGGCCCGGUACUGACGCUGAGGUGCGAAAGCGUGGGGAGCAAACA